GACCUUAGUUGAGGCACAGUUGCUCCUCAGCCGAUGUCACUGUGAAGAGGUGUCAAAAGGGGUGGUCUCUAUUGUGGCUCAGAAACUAGUAUUCAAAGUGGUGGAUCGGGUGGUAGUAAAACAUUUCCAAAAAGUGCAGGGGCAGCCAGUGACCAGUGACAAAGGAGUGACAAGUGGUGGAAUGCUGUGAGUGAAGUGGUGAGGAAAUGUUUUCGGAUUGGUGGUGACUCAGGUGUGCAUGUGGAAGGUAGUGAGUGAACAAAGAUUUGGAGCAAGGUGGGGCUGACUCAUCAGCAGAAAUGCUCUUCACUUCUUCAUGAAUGUUGCCCAAAUCCUAGAUGGCAUGGAGGAGUCAUCUCCAGUUGCCUCGCAUAGACAACUUCUUGAGGCAGUUUUCCAUGAUGUCGACCUCAUGAAGAAGUGGGACAAUGUGUGCGACGGGAGGCUGCGCCAAGAAGACUCCUUGCGCCUCAUGGAGCUCAUUUGCAGACAAUUCUGCAACACCCAUGCGCGCGGUGUUAUCAAGAAGAGGAUAAUAAAUUGAACAGGUUUCCACCAGUGCAAUUGCGUGCUAAACUGGCCAGUAGUAUUUAUCCUUUGUUAACUUAGUCAGCGCCUUUGUCUGCUACACUUGUGGCAAAGAUUUCACAAGGCAGUAUAAUUUGAAAGCUCAUUUGGAAAAAGUGCACAUAGUCAACGUCUCAAAAAGCAUAAUUUUGUUUGUAAUAUGCCAAAUUGUGAGCAAAGUUGACCUCUAUGAUCAUCUUCGGAUUUACCACAAAGCUGACCUGAAGCCUCCUCAAACUUACAAUUUUCAAUCAGUUAAAGAAUUGAGGAAGUGUAAAUCUCAAAUUCAGGACAGCUCCUUGUCAUUCUUUUCAAUGCAAUAUGGUCCUCAGGAGGGGGAGAGUGUAAUAUUACAGUCAACAUGAUGGUCAAGUGAAGACGCACACAAAAGGGGAUGAACGUGUGAGGAAAACUGAUCGAAAGAAUUUAAAGGGUUGCAUCAAGAAAGAUAAGGUAUGUUCGGCCACGAUGUCCGUCUACCACCUGAAAGAUGGUUGUGUCCGUGUUGAAUACCGACCUACUCAUUCUCAUGUGCCCCAUCCAAGAGAUUCACGUCACCAACCAACCACUCUCUGAUGAAACAAAUGAUUUCAUAAAUAUGCAGCUGGAUUGGAGUGCCAGAAAAAUUUGGUUAGGUCUUAGAGAUAAUUCCUACAAACGGGAAAAUUGAUUUGAAAAACCUAAUCUAAACGGAACAAUUUUGUCAAUCUAAAGGCCAUAAGUGAGAGAAGACGGAAGAAGUUCGCAGCGGCUGGGUAUGCUGGCAGAGUGGCUUAGCACCUGCUUCAGAACAAUCAAUGACCACAAGUAUCAAAAUCAAAAAAAGGAAAACCAACCCGGCAUUGCAUGCCAAAAACAAAAAGGAGCACGCCGGCAACAAUUUCAAUAAAAAUCUGGCGUGGGAGAGCAUUGGCGCUGCUCAGACGCCUCCUAUGACUGCUGAAGAGGCGGAGAAAGCCUGGUAUAGGUUGAGACAGAAGUUUGGGAAGUAGUGGCAGCGCCACAAGACUAGCGUCACUGGGCGAAGCGGGGCAGCAGCAGGACCUCUGUACAGGUCAUCGUGGCCUCUGUGCGGGGACCUGCUGUUCCUGGCGGACCAUAUGUCCCCCCGAAGAACUGUCAGCAACUACAAACGGGCCUCCUCAAGCAGCAGCUCAAUGAGCCAGGUGCCAAUAAUUUCUUGGUCAACGAAGCCGACACUGCCCC
Thrips palmi is the source of this 1773-nucleotide long non-coding RNA. RefSeq lists it as uncharacterized. Lineage: Eukaryota; Metazoa; Arthropoda; Insecta; Thysanoptera; Thripidae. The transcript has 3 exons. The record is from RefSeq and is a predicted model, not a curated record.